GCCUUGCCCUGAUGCUUGGGCCACACCCCAUGCUCUGGUGGUGCCCUUGUGUCAGUGACAUCCCUUUCCCUGAUGUCACUUCCUGUCCCUGCCCCUGUGUCCGCCCACCCUGCCCGUGACCCCGCCCCCUGACCACUGACCCCUCCAGACCCAGCAGGACAUGGUGAAUUCGCACCCGGGCCUGGACUUCCUGAGAGCAGCAAAGAAGUUACAUCACCACUUGAUUCCUGCCAUGGCUCCACCUCCAACCCUGUGACCCUGUGACACCGGCUCCUCCCCCAUGUGACUCAGAGGAUCUUCUACACAGUGAACUGGUCAUGGUCUGGGAUGAUCUUGCAAGAGGAGCUGAGGUGCAGCUGCUUCCUGCAGCCAUCUCUUCCUGGAUGAUCCACUGCAUCUUCUCUUUCGGGUGCUGUCAGCCUGUGAGCAGCCUGGGAGGGUGCAGCCUCUGUGUAGUGCCAGGAAGCUGACCUCGUGUGGUUCCUGCUCUCAGAGGACAAGAUCACGCCCAUCAGAUGAGCAGGGUGCCCCAGCCAGCCAUGCCCCCUGCUUGCUCCUUACCUUGCUUCUCUGUGGUCACGCCCACCAACUCUGGCUCCGCCCUGACAUGGCCACGCCUAUAGGAUGUUCUGUCUCCGCCCCCGCUCGAUCCUGGCUCUGCCCCUUGCUGACUGACCCCCCCCACCUCAUGAACUCUGACCCUGAUCUCAUGACCCCGCCACUGUGACCCUGCUGACUGCUGACCCUCUGACCCCUGAUCCUGCCCACAGACACCAUGAUCUCUGACCCUUACCUCUUGACUCCACCCCUUGAUUGUGACCCCACCCCCGUGACCUCUGACCCCCAACCCCACCUACCCCGCAGCACUGACUGCUGGUUCUGCUGCAUGGUGUUCGAGCUCGAGUUCUUCUAUGAGGAGCAGGCCCAGCGUGGAGCCCCUCCUCUUCCGCGACCUGCGCGCGUGUGCCAGGUGCUGGACCUCUUUGCCCCAGCCCCAGUGGCAGCUAGGAUCCCGGCCACACCUCUGACCCUGCGGGGGACUCCUGACCCCUGGAUUUAGCCUGUGAACUCCAGGGUGACCUCUGACACUACCU
This is a non-coding RNA of Mus caroli (Ryukyu mouse), 1094 nucleotides long. Lineage: Eukaryota; Metazoa; Chordata; Mammalia; Rodentia; Muridae. The record is from RefSeq and is a predicted model, not a curated record.